RNAcentral lists this ribosomal RNA (492 nucleotides) under uncultured bacterium. Its description in RNAcentral is "partial 16S ribosomal RNA". It matches the Rfam family "Bacterial small subunit ribosomal RNA", at positions 29 to 507 of the family's 1533-position model. The record is from RNAcentral.
AGUGAACGCUGGCGGUAGGCCUAACACAUGCAAGUCGAACGGCAGCACAGUAAGAGCUUGCUCUUACGGGUGGCGAGUGGCGGACGGGUGAGGAAUACAUCGGAAUCUACUUUUUCGUGGGGGAUAACGUAGGGAAACUUACGCUAAUACCGCAUACGACCUACGGGUGAAAGCAGGGGAUCUUCGGACCUUGCGCGAUUGAAUGAGCCGAUGUCGGAUUAGCUAGUUGGCGGGGUAAAGGCCCACCAAGGCGACGAUCCGUAGCUGGUCUGAGAGGAUGAUCAGCCACACUUGAACUGAGACACGGUCCAGACUCCUACGGGAGGCAGCAGUGGGGAAUAUUUGACAAUGGGCGCAAGCCUGAUCCAGCCAUACCGCGUGGGUGAAGAAGGCCUUCGGGUUGUAAAGCCCUUUUGUUGGGAAAGAAAAGCAGCAGGUUAAUACCCCGCUGUUCUGACGGUACCCAAAGAAUAAGCACCGGCUAACUUCGUG